GCCGGGCGUGGUGGCGCGCACCUGUAGUCCCAGCUACUCGGGAGGCUGCGGUGGGAGGAUCGCUUGAGUCCAGGAGUUCUGGGCUGCAGUGCGCUAUGCCCAUUGGGUGUCCACACUAAGUUCGGCAUCAAAAUGGUGAUCUCCCGGGAGCGGGGGACCACCAGGUUGCCUAAGGAGGGGUGAACCGGCCCAGGUCGGAAAUAGAGCAGGUCAAAACUCCCGUGCUGAAAAGAAAGCCCCAAGACACCAUGUUCUAGAAUGGCAGCAACCUAGAGAAGUUGUUCCUCA
This 288-nucleotide signal recognition particle RNA is filed under the name Octodon degus (degu). RNAcentral describes it as "Metazoan signal recognition particle RNA (ENSODEG00000025862.1)". It matches the Rfam family "Metazoan signal recognition particle RNA". Rfam says of the family: The signal recognition particle (SRP) is a universally conserved ribonucleoprotein. It is involved in the co-translational targeting of proteins to membranes. The record is from RNAcentral. Lineage: Eukaryota; Metazoa; Chordata; Mammalia; Rodentia; Octodontidae.